AACGAACGCUGGCGGCAGGCCUAACACAUGCAAGUCGAGCGGAACUUUCGGGGUCAGCGGCGGACGGGUGAGUAACGCGUGGGACUAUGCCCUUCUCUACGGAAUAGUACUGGGAAACUGGGGGUAAUACCGUAUACGCCCUUUGGGGGAAGGAUUUAUCGGGGAAGGAUUAGCCCGCGUUGGAUUAGGUAGUUGGUGGGGUAAUGGCCUACCAAGCCGACGAUCCAUAGCUGGUUUGAGAGGAUGAUCAGCCACACUGGGACUGAGACACGGCCCAGACUCCUACGGGAGGCAGCAGUGGGGUAUCUUAGACAAUGGGGGCAACCCUAAUCUAGCCAUGCCGCGUGAGUGAUGAAGGCCUGAGGGUUGUAAAGCUCGGUCAGCUGGGAAGAUAAUUACGGUACCAGCAGAAGAAGCCCCGGCUUACUCCGUG
This 433-nucleotide ribosomal RNA is filed under the name uncultured bacterium. RNAcentral's name for it is "partial 16S ribosomal RNA". It matches the Rfam family "Bacterial small subunit ribosomal RNA", at positions 29 to 507 of the family's 1533-position model. The record is from RNAcentral.